UACGUAGGGGGCAAGCGUUGUCCGGAAUCAUUGGGCGUAAAGAGCGUGUAGGCGGCUUGGCAAGUCUGACGUGAAAUCCCGCGGCUCAACCGCGGUCGGUCGUUGGAAACUGCCUGGCUAGAGUCCGGAAGAGGAGAUUGGAAUUCCUGGUGUAGCGGUGGAAUGCGCAGAUAUCAGGAGGAACACCCGUGGCGAAGGCGGCUCUCUGGGACGGUACUGACGCUGAGACGCGAAAGCGUGGGGAGCGAACAGG
RNAcentral lists this ribosomal RNA (253 nucleotides) under uncultured bacterium. RNAcentral describes it as "partial 16S ribosomal RNA". It matches the Rfam family "Bacterial small subunit ribosomal RNA", at positions 524 to 776 of the family's 1533-position model. The record is from RNAcentral.